Molecule: long non-coding RNA, 343 nt
Organism: Spinacia oleracea (spinach)
Lineage: Eukaryota; Viridiplantae; Streptophyta; Magnoliopsida; Caryophyllales; Amaranthaceae
Exons: 3
Source: RefSeq, a predicted model, not a curated record
GCCCUUCCUCUUCGUUUGUCCCUUGUUCCUUCGCGGCUCCUCUGCGUACGCUAGCCUUACGGGAAACAAGUUCCAUUUGGAACUUUGUUUUCCUUUAUUUCUUAAGCAGAGGCCCAAUUCCCUUGGCCCAAAUUCCCAAAAAUUCGAACUCGGAGCUCAGGAAGGACGGUCCAUCAAACGGGACGUAUAAAACUACGGUUGAGGUACAAAGAAGAUCAUGGGAUGCCUUAGAGUGAGGAUGCAACCAUCAAAUUCACGAUCGAUGUUUAGUAAAGAUAACUAUGUCAUUAGUAAUAAAGGGAUGUAUUAAUUAAACUCUAAGUUUGAUUUCAUGAUUUGAGUU